RNAcentral lists this ribosomal RNA (582 nucleotides) under uncultured bacterium. RNAcentral's name for it is "partial 16S ribosomal RNA". It matches the Rfam family "Bacterial small subunit ribosomal RNA", at positions 357 to 1375 of the family's 1533-position model. The record is from RNAcentral.
UGGGAAUUUGGACAAUGGGCGAAAGCCUGAUCCAGCAAUGCCGCGUGUGUGAAGAAGGCCUUCGGGUUGUAAAGCACUUUUGUCCGGAAAGAAAUCCUUGGCUCUAAUACAGUCGGGGGAUGACGGUACCGGAAGAAUAAGCACCGGCUAACUACGUGCCAGCAGCCGCGGUAAUACGUAGGGUGCAAGCGUUAAUCGGAAUUACUGGGCGUAAAGCGUGCGCAGGCGGUUUGCUAAGACCGAUGUGAAAUCCCCGGGCUCAACCUGGGAACUGCAUUGGUGACUGGCAGGCUAGAGUAUGGCAGAGGGGGGUAGAAUUCCACGUGUAGCAGUGAAAUGCGUAGAGAUGUGGAGGAAUACCGAUGGCGAAGGCAGCCCCCUGGGCAAUACUGACGCUCAUGCACGAAAGCGUGGGGAGCAAACAGGAUUAGAUACCCUGGUAGUCCACGCCCUAAACGAUGUCAACUAGUUGUUGGGGAUUCAUUUCCUUAGUAACGUAGCUAACGCGUGAAGUUGACCGCCUGGGGAGUACGGUCGCAAGAUUAAAACUCAAAUGAAUUGACGGGGUCAUAGCUGUUUCCU